ACUCCUACGGGAGGCAGCAGUGGGGAAUAUUGGACAAUGGGGGCAACCCUGAUCCAGCCAUGCCGCGUGAGUGAUGAAGGCCCUAGGGUUGUAAAGCUCUUUCGGCGGGGACGAUAAUGACGGUACCCGCAGAAGAAGCCCCGGCUAACUUCGUGCCAGCAGCCGCGGUAAU
RNAcentral lists this ribosomal RNA (172 nucleotides) under uncultured bacterium. RNAcentral's name for it is "partial 16S ribosomal RNA". It matches the Rfam family "Bacterial small subunit ribosomal RNA", at positions 335 to 524 of the family's 1533-position model. The record is from RNAcentral.